Molecule: ribosomal RNA, 453 nt
Filed under: uncultured bacterium
Lineage: Bacteria
Description: bacterial SSU rRNA
Rfam family: Bacterial small subunit ribosomal RNA
Source: RNAcentral
GAUGAACGCUGGCGGCGGUGCUUAACACAUGCAAGUCGAACGUGAGAAUAGCAAUAUUUGAAAGUGGCAAACGGGUGAGUAACACGUGGGAACCUGCCUCGAAGUGGGGGAUAACGAUUGGAAACGGUCGCUAAUACCGCACGGUUCUGCUCUGAUGGGAAUGGAGCAGAUAAAGAUUUAUCGCUUUGAGAGGGGCCCGCGGCCGAUUAGCUAGUUGGUAAGGUAAGGCUUACCAAGGCGAUUAUCGGUAGCUGGUCUGAGAGGACGAUCAGCCACACGGGAACUGAGACACGGUCCCGACUCCUACGGGGGGCAGCAGUGAGGAAUAUUGGGCAAUGGGCGAAAGCCUGACCCAGCAACGCCGCGUGGAGGAUGAAGGCUUUAGGGUUGUAAACUCCUUUUGUGGGGAAAGAAUGGAUGGUACCCCAAGAAUAAGUCACGGCUAACUACGUG